AUGGAAACACCGGUCCCCGCACGAAAACCGAAGUGAAGCAACGUUACGCCUGGUCAGUACCUAGAUGGGCGACCGUUUGAGAAUACCAGAUGCU
This is a non-coding RNA of Acanthosepion pharaonis, 94 nucleotides long. Lineage: Eukaryota; Metazoa; Mollusca; Cephalopoda; Sepiida; Sepiidae. The record is from the annotation of a GenBank genome assembly.